CGGCGAGUGAAGCGGCAACAGCUCAAAUUUGAAAUCUGGCUCUUUCAGGGUCCGAGUUGUAAUUUGUAGAGGAUGUUUCGGGGUGUGGCUCCGGUCUAAGUUCCUUGGAACAGGACGUCAUAGAGGGUGAGAAUCCCGUAUGUGACUGGUAGCCUAUGCUCAUGUGAAACUCCUUCGACGAGUCGAGUUGUUUGGGAAUGCAGCUCAAAAUGGGUGGUAAAUUUCAUCUAAAGCUAAAUAUUGGCCAGAGACCGAUAGCGCACAAGUAGAGUGAUCGAAAGAUGAAAAGCACUUUGGAAAGAGAGUUAAACAGUACGUGAAAUUGUUGAAAGGGAAGCGCUUGCAACCAGACUUGCAUGUAGCUGAUCAACCGGUGUUCUCACCGGUGCACUCAGUUGCGUUCAGGCCAGCAUCGGUUUCGACGGUUGGAUAAAGGCCUUGGGAAUGUAGCUUCUUUCGGGGAGUGUUAUAGCCCAGGGUGCAAUGCAGCCUGUCGGGACCGAGGACCGCGCUUCGGCUAGGAUGCUGGCGUAAUGGUUGUAAGCGACCCGUCUUGAAACACGGACCAAGGAGUCUAACAUCUAUGCGAGUGUUUGGGUGUCAAACCCAUACGCGUAAUGAAAGUGAACGGAGGUGAGAACCCUUAAGGGUGCAUCAUCGACCGAUCCUGAUGUCUUCGGAUGGAUUUGAGUAAGAGCAUAGCUGUUGGGACCCGAAAGAUGGUGAACUAUGCCUGAAUAGGGUGAAGCCAGAGGAAACUCUGGUGGAGGCUCGCAGCGGUUCUGACGUGCAAAUCGAUCGUCAAAUUUGGGUAUAG
RNAcentral lists this ribosomal RNA (817 nucleotides) under Phacidium pseudophacidioides. RNAcentral describes it as "eukaryotic LSU rRNA". It matches the Rfam family "Eukaryotic large subunit ribosomal RNA", at positions 87 to 920 of the family's 3401-position model. Lineage: Eukaryota; Fungi; Ascomycota; Leotiomycetes; Phacidiales; Phacidiaceae. The record is from RNAcentral.